UACGUAGGGGCCAAGCGUUGUUCGGAUUUACUGGGCGUAAAGGGCGCGUAGGCGGCCUGUUAAGUCAGCUGUGAAAUCUCCGAGCUUAACUCGGAACUGUCAGCUGAUACUGAUGUGCUAGAGUGCAGAAGGGGCAAUCGGAAUUCUUGGUGUAGCGGUGAAAUGCGUAGAUAUCGAGAGGAACACCUGAGGUGAAGACGGGUUGCUGGGCUGACACUGACGCUGAGGCGCGAAAGCCAGGGGAGCAAACGGG
Molecule: ribosomal RNA, 253 nt
Filed under: uncultured bacterium
Lineage: Bacteria
Description: partial 16S ribosomal RNA
Rfam family: Bacterial small subunit ribosomal RNA
Source: RNAcentral